This is a long non-coding RNA of Sinocyclocheilus anshuiensis, 182 nucleotides long. RefSeq lists it as uncharacterized. The transcript has 3 exons. NCBI's taxonomy places the organism in Eukaryota, Metazoa, Chordata, Actinopteri, Cypriniformes, Cyprinidae. The record is from RefSeq and is a predicted model, not a curated record.
CGUUCAGAAGAAUCCAUUCAACAUGGCGGAUAAUCGCAAGCGACCGGAGCAAACUUAAUGGAACAACUUGCUGAGCUGGAUGCUGAAUACAAAAGAGUGAGCCUCAACACUUAAGGUUUGUGCUGAGUUUCACCAUAUCAGAGAAAGUGGCACACACCAGCAAGAUUUCACAGAUGUUGCAU